Molecule: long non-coding RNA, 603 nt
Filed under: Mus caroli (Ryukyu mouse)
Lineage: Eukaryota; Metazoa; Chordata; Mammalia; Rodentia; Muridae
Description: lncRNA (MGP_CAROLIEiJ_G0006166.1)
Source: RNAcentral
GUGGAAAGGCCUAAGAUUUCUGUAAAAGCAGGGGUCAGUGAAUUAAAAUCCUCCCAGGAGCGAAGGGCCUCUGAAUGCUUAUUUCUGAUAAUCUUAUUUAUGUCCCGGGCCAUGCCCCCACCACACCCCUACUCCAAAGGCUUCUCUUGUGCUGCCUGUGCCCUGGACUAUUCACUGACUGACCCUACCUGCCUUUGGGGGAUUGGAGGUGAGGUGGUAUGGUGUCAACAGUACAGACUCCAGGAGUAGGUGAGAAACCCUGUGGCAAGAUCAUCUGAGCGCUGCUAACAGCCCAAUGGAUGAGGAGAGUCACGCACACACCCGUCUACAAACCCACUUUACAGAUGGAGUGAUGGGCUGAGAUGAACUAGUGGGCAGAGAGCCAAUCCAGAGGAAACCAAGCAUGCAGCCAGCGAGUCAGACAUUUGUGGGAAUUGGGAAAACAUUGCACCUGCCCCACUGGAGACAUGGACGUUAGAUUUGGUUUUAGGUAUACAUCCCAAGUGCUGUGUAUGACUGCAUUCCCCAAGGACCCUCUGGGAGCAUGAGACAGGGAGGACAGGAAAGAAUCUCUGAUAAUAAAAAAACAAAAACAAAACAAAA